Molecule: non-coding RNA, 164 nt
Filed under: uncultured Clostridium sp.
Lineage: Bacteria; Bacillati; Bacillota; Clostridia; Eubacteriales; Clostridiaceae
Description: glmS glucosamine-6-phosphate activated ribozyme
Rfam family: glmS glucosamine-6-phosphate activated ribozyme aptamer
About the family: This entry contains a glucosamine-6-phosphate activated ribozyme that is found in the mRNA for GlmS.
Source: RNAcentral
AAACUAAGCGCCAGGGCUAAGUGGACGAGUUAUAAGUUUUUAUAAACACACGGACACGUAGUUGACGAGGAUGGGGAGUAUCGAGGUUUCGGCGGAUGCCCCACGGUAUCGCACUACCGUUAACGAUUGAUAAAAGCAGAAAGUGAUUUUUGUUACAAAGCAAU